AUGCUACAAGACUUGUGUACUUAGCCGAUAUUUUUUUAAAAUUUAGAUUUCCAUAAGCUGCAUUUAGAUUAAAAAGAAAAACAAUUAAAAAUUAUUCUUCUUUUGUUUAAAUUGUGUGCAUCAACAUUCAAAUUCAUGAAGACUGAGGGAAAAAAUAAAUUUCAUUUUAAUUUGUAAAAAUUCUUGGCCUUGGCUUAUCCCCAAACCUAAUAACUAAUAUUGAAUUCAA
RNAcentral lists this unclassified non-coding RNA (229 nucleotides) under Hevea brasiliensis (rubber tree). The record is from RNAcentral. Lineage: Eukaryota; Viridiplantae; Streptophyta; Magnoliopsida; Malpighiales; Euphorbiaceae.